AAUUACCUCAGUUUUCGUUUUUCCGUGUCUAACGUUUGACCAUUCGUCUUAUUUGAAAAUUUUGUACAAAAACUUAAAAAAAUUAAUCACAUAUAAAGUACUAUUCAUAUUUUAUCAUCUAGUAACAAUAAAAAUAUUAAUCGCAAAAAAAUUUCAAAUAAGACGAAUGGUCGACACGGAAAAACGAAAAAUGAGGUUAUU
This is a non-coding RNA of Oryza brachyantha (malo sina), 201 nucleotides long. The record is from Rfam. NCBI's taxonomy places the organism in Eukaryota, Viridiplantae, Streptophyta, Magnoliopsida, Poales, Poaceae.